GACGAACGCUUGCGGCGUGCUUAACACAUGCAAGUCGAGCGGAGCGGCGAACGGGUGAGUACCGCGUUAGUAACUGCCCCCCUCUCUGGGAUAACAGUUGUAAACGGCUGCUACUACCGGAUAGUGGGGGAUGACUCGCGUCCUAUCAGCUUGUUGUUGGGGUAGUGGCCUAACAAGGCGCCGACGGGUAGCCGGCCUGAGAGGGCGACCGGCCACAUUGUGGUAAGAUACGGACCAAAAUCAGACGGGAGGCAGCAGUGGGGAAGAUUGCACAAUGGGGGAAACGAGGAUGGAGCAAAGCCGCGGGAGGGAUGACGGCCAUCGGGUGAGAAACCGCUUUCGGCCAUGACGCGGGAGUGGAAGAAGAAGCACAGGCUAACUACGUGCCAGCAGCCGCGUUAAUAC
RNAcentral lists this ribosomal RNA (405 nucleotides) under uncultured bacterium. RNAcentral describes it as "partial 16S ribosomal RNA". It matches the Rfam family "Bacterial small subunit ribosomal RNA", at positions 28 to 526 of the family's 1533-position model. The record is from RNAcentral.